GGCUCAGAUUGAACGCUGGCGGCAUGCCUUACACAUGCAAGUCGAACGGCAGCACGGGAGCAAUCCUGGUGGCGAGUGGCGAACGGGUGAGUAAUAUAUCGGAACGUGCCCAGUCGUGGGGGAUAACGUAGCGAAAGCUACGCUAAUACCGCAUACGAUCUAUGGAUGAAAGCGGGGGAUCGCAAGACCUCGCGCGAUUGGAGCGGCCGAUAUCAGAUUAGGUAGUUGGUGGGGUAAAAGCCUACCAAGCCUUCGAUCUGUAGCUGGUCUGAGAGGACGACCAGCCACACUGGAACUGAGACACGGUCCAGACUCCUACGGGAGGCAGCAGUGGGGAAUUUUGGACAAUGGGCGCAAGCCUGAUCCAGCAAUGCCGCGUGCAGGAUGAAGGCCUUCGGGUUGUAAACUGCUUUUGUACGGAACGAAACGGUUCUCUCUAAUACAGGGGGCUAAUGACGGUACCGUAAGAAUAAGCACCGGCUAACUACGUG
RNAcentral lists this ribosomal RNA (491 nucleotides) under uncultured bacterium. RNAcentral describes it as "bacterial SSU rRNA". It matches the Rfam family "Bacterial small subunit ribosomal RNA", at positions 21 to 507 of the family's 1533-position model. The record is from RNAcentral.